GACGAACGCUGGCGGCGUGCCUAAUACAUGCAAGUAGAACGCUGAAGGAGGAGCUUGCUUCUCUGGACGAGUUGCGAACGGGUGAGUAACGCGUAGGUAACCUGCCUGGUAGCGGGGGAUAACUAUUGGAAACGAUAGCUAAUACCGCAUAAUAGCAGUUGUUGCAUGACAACUGUUUGAAAGGUGCAAUUGCACCACUACCAGAUGGACCUGCGUUGUAUUAGCUAGUUGGUGGGGUAACGGCUCACCAAGGCGACGAUACAUAGCCGACCUGAGAGGGUGAUCGGCCACACUGGGACUGAGACACGGCCCAGACUCCUACGGGAGGCAGCAGUAGGGAAUCUUCGGCAAUGGACGGAAGUCUGACCGAGCAACGCCGCGUGAGUGAAGAAGGUUUUCGGAUCGUAAAGCUCUGUUGUAAGAGAAGAACGAGUGUGAGAGUGGAAAGUUCACACUGUGACGGUAUCUUACCAGAAAGGGACGGCUAACUACGUG
Molecule: ribosomal RNA, 495 nt
Filed under: uncultured bacterium
Lineage: Bacteria
Description: partial 16S ribosomal RNA
Rfam family: Bacterial small subunit ribosomal RNA
Source: RNAcentral